AUGUCAGGGAAGCAGUGCAAGCUUCAGGCCUCCAACCAAGCACACUUCCGGCAGGUCUCCAGGCAAAAUUUGGUCAGGGUGGCAACCAAACAUAUUUUCAGAACUGUGUACCGAAGGUGCAGGCGUGACAGGCGCCUCCACGCGGCGGCGAUCAUGGCCGCGGCCCUCCGCCCCCUGCUCCGCUGGCACGCAGUUCUGCCGCCAUCUUCGAUGCUGCGCGCUCUAUUCCCCGUGCCGUACUCCAAGGGUGAACCACACCGCUGCACUGCUGUUCAAAGUACCAUGAGUGACAGUACAAAGUCGUUGCUGGAUAAACUGAAGGAUCUCAAGGACAGUAAGAAGCCACUGGACGACAUGGAAAAGAAUAUUAAGGAGCGUAGGGAAAUGAUAAAGAAAGCUCUGCAUGACUCUAGGGUUGCUAAUGCUAUGUUUAGGGUAAGACUGGAUGGCCUUAGGAAACUUCUUGCCAAAAUACGUGAUGGCCGAGAGGAUUCUGCCAGAAUCAAUGCAAUAUACCGCAGAUUGGAGGAUGACUAUGACAAAGAUUGGGCCAUUCAUGAGUCUAAAGGUCGCUUGAUUGACGAACAGAUGAAAAUGUUAAGGAAGGAGGGAGAUGACUAUAUCAAUGCUUUGAGGGAGUAUCAUGAAUUGCAAAUAUCCAUCCUGAAGCAUGCAGAGGAGGUGGAGGAGGCGGAGAAGGUGGAGGAGGUAGAGAGCAUGGAGAAGGUGGAGGAGGUAGAGAACAUGGAGAAGGUGAAGAAGGUUGCAAAAGUGUGUGCCGCUGCUGGCCUCAUGGGAGGGCUUCUGGUGAUACUGGGAAAGAUCUAG
This 828-nucleotide ribosomal RNA is filed under the name Triticum aestivum (bread wheat). RNAcentral's name for it is "partial small subunit ribosomal RNA". Lineage: Eukaryota; Viridiplantae; Streptophyta; Magnoliopsida; Poales; Poaceae. The record is from RNAcentral.